RNAcentral lists this ribosomal RNA (253 nucleotides) under uncultured bacterium. RNAcentral describes it as "partial 16S ribosomal RNA". It matches the Rfam family "Bacterial small subunit ribosomal RNA", at positions 524 to 776 of the family's 1533-position model. The record is from RNAcentral.
AACGUAGGAGACAAACGUUAUCCGGAGUUACUGGGCGUAAAGGGCGUGCAGGCGGUCGACUAAGUCUGGCGUGAAAGCUCUCGGCUAAACCGGGAGAGGUCGUUGGAUACUGGUUGACUAGAGGACGGUAGAGGCGUGUGGAAUUCCGGGUGUAGUGGUGAAAUGCGUAGAGAUCCGGAGGAACACCAGUGGCGAAAGCGGCCACCUGGACUGCACCUGACGCUGACACGCGAAAGCUAGGGGAGCGAACGGG